UUCUGAGCUCUUCCCUGGAGGAUAUUGCAAUAUGGUUUCCAUCAACACACUGAAGUGCCCUUCAACAAGGAACUGAACCCAAACUGCUCAAAGUGUGAGUAAUCCAUUUCCCUCAAUUUCGGGUCUUGAGGCUUGCCACUAAGGGCCACGGGAUCAAUAUUUGCCAAGUUUAAACCACAGGAUUAUCCGUCUGUCAGGGCUCGCAACAGAAGCUCUCAACUGUGACAUAAAUCUUGGACUGUCCUCCACCAUUUGAGAAGGAUUCCAGUUCUGAAGACCACGCAGCAUCCUGACAAAAGAGAGUAUUGUUACAGUGCAUACCACCAGUUCACCGUCCGGCAACACGCACGUAUGGGAGCCGGAAACGGGGUGCCAAUACCGAGCUGCUGUGUUUGGUGGAUGGAAUUUGGGUACCUCCCAAUGAGAAGCUCAACCAUUCGUUGACUUACCCUUUCCUUCAAACCAACAUACCUGGAUUUUACCCCUGUGGGGCCGCAUCUUACCCCUGUGAUGAGUCCUUGAAGGAGCCACCUGCACUGAAGCACUGAUGUAGUCGUCGACAUGAAUUACCUGAUCCAGCCCAGAUUUGGGCUGGCAAUCUCUGCACUCAGCUUCCAGAGACUUCCAUCACAAGCAUAUUCAUGGCCAGUGCAAAUGGGGACACAGACAUUAAAAUUCAUCCCUUGCUUUCCUUCAUUGG
Molecule: long non-coding RNA, 700 nt
Organism: Acanthopagrus latus (yellowfin seabream)
Lineage: Eukaryota; Metazoa; Chordata; Actinopteri; Spariformes; Sparidae
Exons: 4
Source: RefSeq, a predicted model, not a curated record